This 426-nucleotide ribosomal RNA is filed under the name Triticum aestivum (bread wheat). Its description in RNAcentral is "partial small subunit ribosomal RNA". The record is from RNAcentral. Lineage: Eukaryota; Viridiplantae; Streptophyta; Magnoliopsida; Poales; Poaceae.
AUGCAUAUGGUUGAUAAGAUGCCACCCCUCGCAGCAGCCGCGUCCUCGUCGCGGUGCGCCCCCUUCGCCUGCCGCCCCCGCGGCGCCGAGCAGCGCCAGCGCUCCAGGGGCCUGGAUCACGCGUCAGCACCGGUGCCUGCCGCCGGGCUGGGCCGCGCGGCGGGGGUCGUGGGCGGCGGCAUCGCCGCGGCCUUCUUCGCGUCCCUGGAGCGGUGCGCCUGCGUGGAGGUCCGCACGACCGACGACCUCUCCGACUGCAGCAACAGCGCCAUGGAGGCCGCGCCGCUCAUGGGCGACGGCGGCGGUUCCGGCUGUUCUUGCACUCAUUCUUCCACACCGAGGAAGAAGAGCAAGAGGAAGGCCGGCGCGGGGAAGGGCCCGAGGGGCGGCCAUGGCGGCUUUGGGUGCUGCGAGAGCAUCAAUUAG